GGAAAUGCUGCUCAUUUUAUUUCGACUUGUUUUCUCGUUUGCCCUAUAAUCAUGAAGUUGGCAAAACAACACCAAAAUGCGGGGGCGUAAGAGACGAAUUUUCCUGCGGUUGCCAUGGCAUUAGCAGGAAAAGAUGCUCUCUUCGGUAUCCGGUAUUGUUUUAGGAAGCACGUUGGAAUGUAGCGCGUCAGUUAAUGGGUAUAUAAACUGAAGGACGCUUAUUAGGUAGUCAUCUCGGUUUCGCUUGUGCUCGCCGUGACUCAGUUUUAAAUAUUUUUGUUUUUGUAGCAUGAAUAGAGAAGAUUUGGCUGCAGUCUUGGCGAAAUCAAAUGCUAAGAUUUUGGAACAAUUCGAAGCUAAGCUUAUAGUUUUGAAAAGAAGCAUCUCAAAAGAUCAAGAAGCGAGAAAGGAGUCGAUCGCUAAAAAAGUUAAGAAAGACUCGGCUGUAAAAUUUAAAAAAGGUAGCAACGAGAAGCAAUUUUUAUUUAACGAGUCAGUCGAAGAGAGGUUUGAUGCAGCAUUGGUGGCUUUAGACAGAGGGAAAAUUAGCCAAGGCUAAAGAAGAGCUAAACGAUGACGAUGGAAUUGGAGGUUCACAAAGUGAAGCUGGAGCAAGGGAACUCAGCGCUUGCUGUCGUACCGACCUUCUAUCUGCUGGUUUCUACAUCAAUGAUCAGAAGUCAGUAUGGGGACCUUCGAAGACGGGUACUUGGCUUGGGUAUGAACUUGAUUUUGGCAACUGCACGAUCUCUUUACCUGUUGCUAAGAUUGAUAAACUUCAACAUUCUAUUAUUCGUUUGAUUGAUUUGCCUAGUUGUAAUGCCAAAGAUAUCGCUAGUGUGGCUGGUAUAUUCACUUCACUUCACUUUAAUAAAUUGCGCAACCUA
Long non-coding RNA from Nematostella vectensis (starlet sea anemone), 887 nucleotides. RefSeq lists it as uncharacterized. NCBI's taxonomy places the organism in Eukaryota, Metazoa, Cnidaria, Anthozoa, Actiniaria, Edwardsiidae. The record is from RefSeq and is a predicted model, not a curated record. The transcript is spliced from 2 exons.